GACGAACGCUGGCGGCGUGCCUAAUACAUGCAAGUGGAACGCAUUGAUAUCACCGGAGCUUGCUCCACCGAUAUAAAUGAGUCGCGAACGGGUGAGUAACGCGUAGGUAACCUGCCUGAUAGCGGGGGAUAACUAUUGGAAACGAUAGCUAAUACCGCAUGAGAGUGUUUAACACAUGUUAGAGACUUAAAAGAUACAAUUGUAUCACUAUCAGAUGGACCUGCGUUGUAUUAGCUAGUUGGUAGGGUAGCGGCCUACCAAGGCAACGAUACAUAGCCGACCUGAGAGGGUGAUCGGCCACACUGGGACUGAGACACGGCCCAGACUCCUACGGGAGGCAGCAGUAGGGAAUCUUCGGCAAUGGACGAAAGUCUGACCGAGCAACGCCGCGUGAGUGAAGAAGGUUUUCGGAUCGUAAAGCUCUGUUGUAGCGGAAGAACGCGUGUAAGAGUGGAAAGUUACACAGGACG
Molecule: ribosomal RNA, 470 nt
Filed under: Streptococcus downei
Lineage: Bacteria; Bacillati; Bacillota; Bacilli; Lactobacillales; Streptococcaceae
Description: bacterial SSU rRNA
Rfam family: Bacterial small subunit ribosomal RNA
Source: RNAcentral